RNAcentral lists this ribosomal RNA (253 nucleotides) under uncultured bacterium. Its description in RNAcentral is "partial 16S ribosomal RNA". It matches the Rfam family "Bacterial small subunit ribosomal RNA", at positions 524 to 776 of the family's 1533-position model. The record is from RNAcentral.
UACGGAGGGGGCUAGCGUUGUUCGGAAUUACUGGGCGUAAAGCGCACGUAGGCGGACAGGGAAGUUGGGGGUGAAAUCCCGGGGCUCAACCCCGGAACUGCCUCCAAAACUCCCUGUCUGGAGGAUGAGAGAGGCGAGUGGAAUUCCGAGUGUAGAGGUGAAAUUCGUAGAUAUUCGGAGGAACACCAGUGGCGAAGGCGGCUCGCUGGCUCAUUUCUGACGCUGAGGUGCGAAAGCGUGGGGAGCAAACAGG